AGCUUGUUGGUGAGGUAAAAGCUCACCAAGGCGACGAUCUGUAGCGGGUCUGAGAGGAUGAUCCGCCACACUGGAACUGAGACACGGUCCAGACUCCUACGGGAGGCAGCAGUGGGGAAUUUUGGACAAUGGGGGCAACCCUGAUCCAGCCAUGCCGCGUGAGUGAAGAAGGCCUUCGGGUUGUAAAGCUCUUUCAGCCGGGAAGAAAACGCAUGGGUUAAUACCCUGUGUGGAUGACGGUACCGGAAUAAGAAGCACCGGCUAACUACGUGCCAGCAGCCGCGGUAAUACGUAGGGUGCGAGCGUUAAUCGGAAUUACUGGGCGUAAAGCGUGCGCAGGCGGUUUUGUAAGACAGGCGUGAAAUCCCCGGGCUUAACCUGGGAACUGCGUUUGUGACUGCAAGGCUAGAGUACGGCAGAGGGGGGUGGAAUUCCACGUGUAGCAGUGAAAUGCGUAGAGAUGUGGAGGAACACCAAUGGCGAAGGCAGCCCCCUGGGUCGAUACUGACGCUCAUGCACGAAAGCGUGGGUAGCAAACAGGAUUAGAUACCCUGGUAGUCCACGCCCUAAGCGAUGUCAACUAGGUGUUGGGAGGGUAAAACCUUUUAGUACCGGAGCUAACGCGUGAAGUUGACCGCCUGGGGAGUACGGCCGCAAGGUUAAAACUCAAAGGAAUUGACGGGGACCCGCACAAGCGGUGGAUGAUGUGGAUUAAUUCGAUGCAACGCGAAAAACCUUACCUACCCUUGACAUGCCAAGAACUUUCCAGAGAUGGAUUGGUGCCCGAAAGGGAACUUGGACACAGGUGCUGCAUGGCUGUCGUCAGCUCGUGUCGUGAGAUGUUGGGUUAAGUCCCGCAACGAGCGCAACCCUUGUCGUUAAUUGCCAUCAUUUAGUUGGGCACUUUAACGAGACUGCCGGUGACAAACCGGAGGAAGGUGGGGAUGACGUCAAGUCCUCAUGGCCCUUAUGGGUAGGGCUUCACACGUCAUACAAUGGUCGGUACAAAGGGUCGCCAAGCCGCGAGGUGGAGCCAAUCCCAGAAAGCCGAUCGUAGUCCGGAUCGCAGUCUGCAACUCGACUGCGUGAAGUCGGAAUCGCUAGUAAUCGUGGAUCAGAAUGUCACGGUGAAUACGUUCCCGGGUCUUGUACACACCGCCCGUCACACCAUGGGAGCGGGUUCCGCCAGAAGUAGGUAGCCUAACCGCAAGGAGGGCGCUUACCACGGCGGGGUUCGUGACUGGGGUGAAGUCGUAACAAGGUAGCCGUAGGGGAACCUGCGGCUG
This 1286-nucleotide ribosomal RNA is filed under the name metagenome. RNAcentral describes it as "bacterial SSU rRNA". It matches the Rfam family "Bacterial small subunit ribosomal RNA", at positions 243 to 1520 of the family's 1533-position model. The record is from RNAcentral.